This 496-nucleotide ribosomal RNA is filed under the name Clostridioides difficile. RNAcentral describes it as "bacterial LSU rRNA". It matches the Rfam family "Bacterial large subunit ribosomal RNA", at positions 799 to 1302 of the family's 2925-position model. The record is from RNAcentral. Lineage: Bacteria; Bacillati; Bacillota; Clostridia; Peptostreptococcales; Peptostreptococcaceae.
CGGGGAUGACUUGUGGGUAGCGGUGAAAUUCCAAUCGAGCCCGGAGAUAGCUGGUUCUCCCCGAAAUAGCUUUAGGGCUAGCCUCAAGGUGAGAGAUACAGAGGUAGAACACUGAAUGUCCUAAGGGUAAUGACACCUACCGCAGACUAUCAAACUAAGAAUGCCGUCAUCUUAUACUUGGGAGUCAGACUGUGGGUGAUAAGAUUCAUAGUCGAAAGGGCCACAGCCCAGAUCGUCCGCUAAGGUCCCUAAAUGUAAGUUAAGUGGUAAAGGAUGUGGGAUUGCACAGACAACCAGGAUGUGGGCUUAGAAUCAGCCACUCAUUCAAAGAUUGCGUUAUAGCUCACUGGUCGAGUGAUCCUGCGCCGAAGUUUUCCGGGGCUAAAACUUACUACCGAAGCUACGGCAUCAGUAAUGAUGGGUAGGGGAGCUUCCCAUACGGGUUGAAGCAUGACCGUAAGGACAUGUGGACAGUAUGGGAGUGAGAAUGUUGGCA